CAGAAGGAGAAAGAGCCCAACCACAAGAAGGAACUGAAGUGCCAUCACUGGUUUGAAGACACAGAGGGCCUCACGUAGAGAAGGACAGUGGCUCUUCACCCCUAGCUGACAACCAGAAAGGAAACAAGCUCCCCAGUCCUACAACUGCAUAGAACGGAACUCUGCCGGCAUCCCGAGUAAGCACGAAAUGGGUUAUUCCUCGAGCCUUCAGAUAAAAACCCAGCCUGGCCAACACCUCAAUAUCAGCUUCGUGAGACCUUGAGCAGAGAAGCCAGUCAAGCCACCUGGACUUCUGACCUCCAGAAUGAGAACAGAAGACAUAGCCAAGCACUCUUAUGGCCUUUGGAAUUAUGCCAGCAAGAGCUCUGUUGGCUACAACCGGCCUUUUACUUUCAAGACAAGACCAAAAACAUAAAUCUGACAUUUGCC
RNAcentral lists this long non-coding RNA (429 nucleotides) under Pan troglodytes (chimpanzee). Its description in RNAcentral is "long non-coding RNA NONPTRT005275". The record is from RNAcentral. Lineage: Eukaryota; Metazoa; Chordata; Mammalia; Primates; Hominidae.